GGUAGCCGGCCUGAGAGGGCGACCGGCCACACUGGGACUGAGACACGGCCUAGACUCCUACGGGAGGCAGCAGUGGGGAAUAUUGCACAAUGGGGGAAACCCUGAUGCAGCGACGCAGCGUGCGGGAUGACGGCCUUCGGGUUGUAAACCGCUUUCAGCAGGGAAGAAGCGCAAGUGACGGUACCUGCAGAAGAAGUACCGGCUAACUACGUGCCAGCAGCCGCGGUAAUACGUAGGGUACGAGCGUUGUCCGGAAUUAUUGGGCGUAAAGAGCUCGUAGGUGGUUGGUCACGUCUGCUGUGGAAACGCAACGCUUAACGUUGCGCGUGCAGUGGGUACGGGCUGACUAGAGUGCAGUAGGGGAGUCUGGAAUUCCUGGUGUAGCGGUGAAAUGCGCAGAUAUCAGGAGGAACACCGGUGGCGAAGGCGGGACUCUGGGCUGUAACUGACACUGAGGAGCGAAAGCAUGGGGAGCGAACAGGAUUAGAUACCCUGGUAGUCCAUGCCGUAAACGUUGGGCACUAGGUGUGGGGGGCAUUCCACGUUCUCCGCGCCGUAGCUAACGCAUUAAGUGCCCCGCCUGGGGGAGUACGG
RNAcentral lists this ribosomal RNA (594 nucleotides) under Brevibacterium sp. CMT116. RNAcentral describes it as "bacterial SSU rRNA". It matches the Rfam family "Bacterial small subunit ribosomal RNA", at positions 282 to 885 of the family's 1533-position model. The record is from RNAcentral. Lineage: Bacteria; Bacillati; Actinomycetota; Actinomycetes; Micrococcales; Brevibacteriaceae.